UGUGGUUAAAAAGCUCGUAGUUGGAUCUCGGCGGACUGAGGGCGGUUUGCUUGCUAGUAUUACUGCCCUAUAGUCCGUAGUUUUGCCAGAGGUUUCGGGGUGCUCUUAAUCGAGUGUCCCGGGAUGCUGGCAGGUUUACUUUGAAAAAAUUAGAGUGCUCAAAGCAGGCUAUUACGCCUGAAUAUUCGUGCAUGGAAUAAUAGAAUAGGAAGUCGUUUCUAUUUUGUUGGUUUUCGGAAAUCGACUUAAUGAUUAAUAGGGACAGUCGGGGGCAUUUGUAUUCAAACGACAGAAGUGAAAUUCUUGGACCGUUUGAAGACAAACUACUGCGAAAGCAUUUGCCAAGAAUGUUUUCAUUAAUCAAGAACGAAAGUUAAAGGUUCGAAGGCGAUUAGAUACCGCCCUAGUUUUAACCAUAAACGAUGCCAGCUAGCGAUCUGCGGACGUUUUUUUUGUAGACUCCGCAGGAAGCUUCCGGGAAACCAAAGCAUUUGGGUUCCAGGGGAAGUAUGGUUGCAAAGCUGAAACUUAAAGGAAUUGACGGAAGGGCACCACCAGGAGUGGAGCCUGUGGCUUAAUUUGACUCAACACGGGAAAUCUCACCAGGCCCGGACACUGGAAGGAUUGACAGAUUGAUAGCUCUUUCU
This 647-nucleotide ribosomal RNA is filed under the name uncultured marine eukaryote. RNAcentral describes it as "SSU rRNA". It matches the Rfam family "Eukaryotic small subunit ribosomal RNA", at positions 614 to 1262 of the family's 1831-position model. The record is from RNAcentral.